UGCAUGUCUAAGUACGUGCCUAAGAAAGGUGAAACCGCGAAUGGCUCAUUAAAUCAGUUAUGGUUCCUUAGAUCGUACCUUACUACUUGGAUAACUGUGGUAAUUCUAGAGCUAAUACAUGCAGCAGAGCUCCGACCUUCGGGGACGAGCGCUUUUAUUAGACCAAGACCAAUCGGACUUCGGUCCGAAGCUCAUGGUGACUCUGGAUAACUUUGGGCUGAUCGCACGGUCUCGUACCGGCGACGCAUCUUUCAAGUGUCUGCCUUAUCAACUUUCGAUGGUAGGUUAUGCGCCUACCAUGGUCGUAACGGGUAACGGGGAAUCAGGGUUCGAUUCCGGAGAGGGAGCCUGAGAAACGGCUACCACAUCCAAGGAAGGCAGCAGGCGCGCAAAUUACCCACUCCCAGCACGGGGAGGUAGUGACGAAAAAUAACAAUACGGGACUCUAUUGAGGCCCCGUAAUUGGAAUGAGUACACUCUAAAUCCUUUAACGAGGAUCUAUUGGAGGGCAAGUCUGGUGCCAGCAGCCGCGGUAAUUCCAGCUCCAAUAGCGUAUAUUAAAGUUGUUGCGGUUAAAAAGCUCGUAGUUGGAUCUCAGUUCCAGACGGGUGGUCCACCCCUGGUGGUUACUGCCUGGCCUGAACAAAUCCAGCCGGUUUUCCUUGAUGCUCUUCACCGAGUGUCUUGGGUGACCGGCACGUUUACUUUGAAAAAAUUAGAGUGCUCAAAGCAGGCGUGACGCCUGAAUAAUGGUGCAUGGAAUAAUGGAAUAGGACCUCGGUUCUAUUUUGUUGGUUUUCGGAACACGAGGUAAUGAUUAAGAGGGACAGACGGGGGCAUUCGUAUUGCGACGCUAGAGGUGAAAUUCUUGGACCGUCGCAAGACGAACUACU
Molecule: ribosomal RNA, 893 nt
Filed under: Schizomida sp. MCZ IZ-95152 106371
Lineage: Eukaryota; Metazoa; Arthropoda; Arachnida; Schizomida
Description: SSU rRNA
Rfam family: Eukaryotic small subunit ribosomal RNA
Source: RNAcentral